CCUACGGGUGGCAGCAGUGGGGAAUAUUGGACAAUGGGGGGAACCCUGAUGCAGCGACGCCGCGUGAGUGAAGAAGUGUUUCGGUAUGUAAAGCUCUAUCAGCAGGGAAGAAAGAAAUGUCGGUACCUGACUAAGAAGUCCCCGCUAACUACGUCCCAGCAGCCGCGGUACUACGUAGGGGGCAAGCGUUAUCCGGAUUUACUGGGUGCAAAGGGAGCGUAGACGGCGGUGCAAGUCUGGAGUGAAAGGCGGGGGCUUAACCCCCGGACUGCUUUGGAAACUGUAUGGCUGGAGUGCAGGAGAGGUAAGUGGAAUUCCUAGUGUAGCGGUGAAAUGCGUAGAUAUUAGGAGGAACACCAGUGGCGAAGGCGGCUUACUGGACUGUAACUGACGUUGAGGCUCGAAAGCGUGGGGAGCAAACAGGAUUAGAUACCCCUGUAGUC
This 443-nucleotide ribosomal RNA is filed under the name uncultured bacterium. Its description in RNAcentral is "partial 16S ribosomal RNA". It matches the Rfam family "Bacterial small subunit ribosomal RNA", at positions 338 to 795 of the family's 1533-position model. The record is from RNAcentral.